UCAAGAUGAGAUUUCCCAAUUAGUAAGACCCCUUGAAGACGACGAGGUAGAUAGGUUGGGGGUGGAAGUGCAGUAAUGCAUGGAGCUGACCAAUACUAAUCGGUCGAGGGCUUAUCCUAAA
RNAcentral lists this ribosomal RNA (121 nucleotides) under Paenibacillus polymyxa. RNAcentral describes it as "partial 23S ribosomal RNA". It matches the Rfam family "Bacterial large subunit ribosomal RNA", at positions 2799 to 2925 of the family's 2925-position model. Lineage: Bacteria; Bacillati; Bacillota; Bacilli; Caryophanales; Paenibacillaceae. The record is from RNAcentral.